RNAcentral lists this ribosomal RNA (304 nucleotides) under uncultured bacterium. RNAcentral describes it as "partial 16S ribosomal RNA". It matches the Rfam family "Bacterial small subunit ribosomal RNA", at positions 509 to 808 of the family's 1533-position model. The record is from RNAcentral.
CAGCAGCGCCGCGGGAAUACAGAGGGUGCGAGCGUUAAUCGGAUUUACUGGGCGUAAAGCGUGCGUAGGCGGCUUUUUAAGUCGGAUGUAAAAUCCCUGAGCUUAACUUAGGAAUUGCAUUCGAUACUGGGAAGCUAGAGUAUGGGAGAGGAUGGUAGAAUUCCAGGUGUAGCGGUGAAAUGCGUAGAGAUCUGGAGGAAUACCGAUGGCGAAGGCAGCCAUCUGGCCUAAUACUGACGCUGAGGUACGAAAGCAUGGGGAGCAAACAGGAUUAGAUACCCGCGUAGUCCCUGUCUCUUAUACA